RNAcentral lists this ribosomal RNA (253 nucleotides) under uncultured bacterium. RNAcentral's name for it is "partial 16S ribosomal RNA". It matches the Rfam family "Bacterial small subunit ribosomal RNA", at positions 524 to 776 of the family's 1533-position model. The record is from RNAcentral.
UACGGAGGGGGCUAGCGUUGUUCGGAAUUACUGGGCGUAAAGCGCACGUAGGCGGCUUUGUAAGUUAGAGGUGAAAGCCCGGGGCUCAACUCCGGAAUUGCCUUUAAGACUGCAUCGCUAGAAUUGUGGAGAGGCAAGUGGAACUCCGAGUGUAGAGGUGAAAUUCGUAGAUAUUCGGAGGAACACCAGUGGCGAAGGCGGCUCACUGGUCCGGUACUGACGCUGAGGUGCGAAAGCGUGGGGAGCAAACAGG